Molecule: transfer RNA, 82 nt
Filed under: Diplopterygium glaucum
Lineage: Eukaryota; Viridiplantae; Streptophyta; Polypodiopsida; Gleicheniales; Gleicheniaceae
Description: tRNA-Leu
Rfam family: tRNA
About the family: Transfer RNA (tRNA) molecules are approximately 80 nucleotides in length. Their secondary structure includes four short double-helical elements and three loops (D, anti-codon, and T loops).
Source: RNAcentral
GCCUCGGUGGUGAAAUGGUAGACACGCUAGAUUCAAAAUCUGGUGCUAAAUAGGUAUGGAGGUUCAAAUCCUCUCCGAGGCA